GAUGAACGCUAGCGAUAGGCCUAACACAUGCAAGUCGAGGGGCAUCACAUGAAGUAGCAAUACGGAUGGUGGCGACCGGCGCACGGGUGAGUAACACGUAUGCAACCUGCCUUCAACAAGGGGAUAACCCGUUGAAAGACGGACUAAUACCCUAUAACACAGGGGUCCCGCAUGGGAAUAUUUGUUAAAGGACAACCGGUUGAAGAUGGGCAUGCGUUCCAUUAGCUAGUUGGCGGGGUAAGGGCCCACCAAGGCAACGAUGGAUAGGGGAACUGAGAGGUUUAUCCCCCACACUGGUACUGAGACACGGACCAGACUCCUACGGGAGGCAGCAGUGAGGAAUAUUGGUCAAUGGACGCAAGUCUGAACCAGCCACGUCGCGUGAAGGAAGACGGCCCUACGGGUUGUAAACUUCUUUUGUAAGGGAAUAAAGUGUAGUACGCGUACUAUUUUGCAUGUACCUUACGAAUAAGGAUCGGCUAACUCCGUG
Molecule: ribosomal RNA, 490 nt
Filed under: uncultured bacterium
Lineage: Bacteria
Description: bacterial SSU rRNA
Rfam family: Bacterial small subunit ribosomal RNA
Source: RNAcentral